Molecule: long non-coding RNA, 501 nt
Organism: Pecten maximus
Lineage: Eukaryota; Metazoa; Mollusca; Bivalvia; Pectinida; Pectinidae
Exons: 3
Source: RefSeq, a predicted model, not a curated record
UCGUCUGGUGACGUCAGUUGAUAUGGACGGGUAUAAAUGGCGGGUAUAACGAUGGGCCGUCCAUUUACUCCUGGAGCGAGGAACGCCCAAUAAGGAAUCCGGUUGCCAAGGUUACAGACCUACCCGUAUUGAUGGCAAGAACUACGUGCCUAUUACUGCUUGGCUGUCUGCUGUCUCUCUCCAUGGCAAACACCCUCGACAGCCUUGUAAGACGGAACACCCCAAGAGGUCAUACUUUCAGCGCGUUCGUGGAGAUAUGCGAGUCAUGUGGCGAAUACUUCGGAAACAGUCUGUCAUACAGAUGCAUUAUGGACCGGUCAUUAACAACUUUCCGACAAUGCAAUACAGCAGUUGUGUCUGUCAAUAGGCGGCGCUGAUAAUGACGUCACUUCCGGACACUUAGAAUUACAUUACAGUUUUUGCUUUCUGUUUCAUUAAUUUAUUUUAUAUACUGCCAGUUCAUAUACUGAUGAAAUAUAAUUAAAAAUUGCAAAAUUUGAA